CAGGGAAUGUCAUCUGAGCAAACAAAAAACAACACAGGAGGUUAAGAAAAAAGAAGCCCGCUCAGCCUCCUUGCCAAGAAACCCAAUGAUGAUCGCAGAAGUUAACGAUCGCGCCCCGAAGCUCUGCUUUCCUGGAGGAGGGGAACCCCGCGCUCGGCAGGCCCGGCUUUGGGUUUAUGCUUCUUCCCCCCCCCCCCCCCCCCCCCCCCCGAGCGGAGCGGUCCUCAGUGAAGGCAGAGAGUUAAGUAAGAAAGCAAACCGCGGCAGAGUGCUCUCAGGCAGCGUUACUCCUCGCUUAGCAUCAGCACUAACGAGUCGUCCUCUCCCCUCGCCCGUCCGCAAAGCGAUCCAUCAUUUAUUUCCAGAUCACCUGGUGAUCUGUAACACAGAAAGAAAAAAAAAAAAAAGAGAGAGAGAGAUUAAGGAAGGAGCCGCCGACACCGCUCCAUGCGCAAUACCUAUCGGCUGAUGUAGAAAAGAAAGCAUAAUCCACAUGUAUAUUGCCUUUAACGAAAGGUAUUUCCUUCGCCUUCCCUCCCUACAGUACCGGCAUGCUUUUGCUGAGGGCUGCGUUUGCACAGUCGCCAGUAAUUACACGCGUGUGUCCGCCGGGAGAACGAAGGUUGGGAAGGUGGGAGGUAGGACGUGAUUCCUCUUUGGAGCAAUCAGGACUGGGAAAGGUUUCAUUCCGUGCAGACGCUUCACCUGCUUAUGAUGUAGCCUCAGAAGAGAAUACCUCUUCCGGUAUGUGCAUUUGAUUUCUCUGUUGGCGUCACCUGGCAGCACUCCCACUGGAGGGAAACCAAAAUGAUUUUCUGAUUUUUUUUUUCACUAGGGAAAGGUGAAAGAUGGUGGUAGUGGUGAUAGGUGAAGUAUCACAGCUGGCUUGUGGACAUUUUCUUAAUGAGAGCAGCGAUACUCCCCACUGGUGAUUUUCACCAUUACAGCAAGAUCUCUGCCACUACUGUGACCAAAAUCAAUCGAUCAGUCAGUCACUCUGCCUGCCUCUGUCUGCUAGCAGAAGCAAUGCCGC
This 1033-nucleotide long non-coding RNA is filed under the name Gallus gallus (chicken). Its description in RNAcentral is "lncRNA (ENSGALG00010008791.1)". Lineage: Eukaryota; Metazoa; Chordata; Aves; Galliformes; Phasianidae. The record is from RNAcentral.